UACGUAGGGCGCAAGCGUUGUCCGGAAUUAUUGGGCGUAAAGAGCUCGUAGGCGGUUUGUCGCGUCUGCUGUGAAAACUCGAGGCUCAACCUCGGGCUUGCAGUGGGUACGGGCAGACUAGAGUGCGGUAGGGGAGACUGGAAUUCCUGGUGUAGCGGUGGAAUGCGCAGAUAUCAGGAGGAACACCGAAGGCGAAGGCAGGUCUCUGGGCCGCAACUGACGCUGAGGAGCGAAAGCAUGGGGAGCGAACAGG
This 253-nucleotide ribosomal RNA is filed under the name uncultured bacterium. Its description in RNAcentral is "partial 16S ribosomal RNA". It matches the Rfam family "Bacterial small subunit ribosomal RNA", at positions 524 to 776 of the family's 1533-position model. The record is from RNAcentral.